AAAAAAAAGUAAAAGGAACUCGGCAAAUCUUACCCCGCCUGUUUACCAAAAACAUCACCUCUAGGAUUACCAGUAUUAGAGGCACCGCCUGCCCAGUGACAUAUGUUUAACGGCCGUGGUACCCUAACCGUGCAAAGGUAGCAUAAUCACUUGUUCCUUAAAUUGGGACUUGUAUGAAUGGCUCCACAAGGGUUCAGCUGUCUCUUACUUUCA
Non-coding RNA from Pongo abelii (Sumatran orangutan), 213 nucleotides. The record is from Rfam. Lineage: Eukaryota; Metazoa; Chordata; Mammalia; Primates; Hominidae.